Molecule: small nucleolar RNA, 107 nt
Organism: Cephalotus follicularis
Lineage: Eukaryota; Viridiplantae; Streptophyta; Magnoliopsida; Oxalidales; Cephalotaceae
Rfam family: Plant small nucleolar RNA R71
About the family: R71 is a member of the C/D box family of snoRNAs containing the C (UGAUGA) and D (CUGA) box motifs.
Source: Rfam
ACGACAUGAUGGGGACAUUUUCUGAUGAUGUCCUUUAAUCUUUCCCAUGCCUCAUGGAACUGCUCACCAUCUUGUUGUGAGAAGCUAGUGAUAGCUCACCUUAUCUG